Lutra lutra (Eurasian river otter) is the source of this 384-nucleotide long non-coding RNA. RefSeq lists it as uncharacterized. NCBI's taxonomy places the organism in Eukaryota, Metazoa, Chordata, Mammalia, Carnivora, Mustelidae. The transcript has 3 exons. The record is from RefSeq and is a predicted model, not a curated record.
CUCUGAAUGGCAUAUGUUGAAGAACCACAAAGUGAAAGGAGGCUGAGUUACUGGGUCUCUAUCAGACUAGAAAUGUUUAUAAGGACUGGUAGACUCUGGCUGUUCUUUGCCACCUGGUCCCCCAACCACCUUGUGAGGCUUCUGUGAUAGCUUUCCACUGCUCCAGUGCGUGCUUGUGACGUGAUAGAAUUUUAGAUAUGGAUGGACCCAGGGAAUCUUCUGUUCUCCUCCAGUUUCCAAGAGGGAAUUCUGAGGCAUCAAGAAGGAGCUCAGUGCUGCUCUCUCACUUCUCCAGCUGGCCACAGGGCUCUGCCCACCCCUCCCUGGUCCACAGACAGGAGGGGUACUGAAGCAGGAAUAUCUUCCCAAGCUUUCUGGAGCUAA